This 221-nucleotide ribosomal RNA is filed under the name Enterococcus faecalis. Its description in RNAcentral is "partial 16S ribosomal RNA". It matches the Rfam family "Bacterial small subunit ribosomal RNA", at positions 1 to 205 of the family's 1533-position model. The record is from RNAcentral. Lineage: Bacteria; Bacillati; Bacillota; Bacilli; Lactobacillales; Enterococcaceae.
UAUUAUGAGAGUUUGAUCCUGGCUCAGGACGAACGCUGGCGGCGUGCCUAAUACAUGCAAGUCGAACGCUUCUUUCCUCCCGAGUGCUUGCACUCAAUUGGAAAGAGGAGUGGCGGACGGGUGAGUAACACGUGGGUAACCUACCCAUCAGAGGGGGAUAACACUUGGAAACAGGUGCUAAUACCGCAUAACAGUUUAUGCCGCAUGGCAUAAGAGUGAAA